UCGAAGACAGGUAAGCCUGGGUUUGCUGGGUUUAUAUAGGCCUAAAUCCCUGCCACAACUACAGUCUCUCUCUCUUCCCCUCUUCCCCCUCUCCCCCUCUCCCCCUCGAAGACAGGUAAGCCUGGGUUUGCUGGGUUUAUAUAGGCCUAAAUCCCUGCCACAACUACAAUCUCUCUCUCUCUCCCUCUCCCUCUCCCUCUC
Molecule: non-coding RNA, 201 nt
Organism: Pelobates cultripes (western spadefoot toad)
Lineage: Eukaryota; Metazoa; Chordata; Amphibia; Anura; Pelobatidae
Source: the annotation of a GenBank genome assembly